RNAcentral lists this ribosomal RNA (200 nucleotides) under uncultured bacterium. RNAcentral describes it as "partial 16S ribosomal RNA". It matches the Rfam family "Bacterial small subunit ribosomal RNA", at positions 28 to 230 of the family's 1533-position model. The record is from RNAcentral.
GACGAACGCUGGCGGCGUGCUUAACACAUGCAAGUCGAACGGUGAACCCCUUUCGGGGGGGGGAUCAGUGGCGAACGGGUGAGUAACACGUGAGCAACCUGCCCCUAGCUCUGGCAUAACUCCGGGAAACCGGGGCUAAUUCCGGAUACGAACCUGGUUGGCAUCUUCUGGGUUGGAAAGUUUUUCGGCUAGGGAUGGGC